This 220-nucleotide unclassified non-coding RNA is filed under the name plant metagenome. RNAcentral's name for it is "partial contains small subunit ribosomal RNA, internal transcribed spacer 1, and 5.8S ribosomal RNA". The record is from RNAcentral.
UUUCCGUAGGUGAACCUGCGGAAGGAUCAUUCACAAUAAGUGUUUUAUGGCACUUUUUCAAUCCAUAUCCACCUUGUGUGCAAUGUUGUCUUGUAGUGCGAAUGCUUGUCAUUUGCGCUACAGGAUGUAAACAUCAACCCUUAUCUUUAACAACUUUGUCUAAAACCUGUAUGAAUACUUAAUUCAAAUACAACUUUCAACAACGGAUCUCUUGGCUCUC